This 314-nucleotide ribosomal RNA is filed under the name uncultured bacterium. Its description in RNAcentral is "partial 16S ribosomal RNA". It matches the Rfam family "Bacterial small subunit ribosomal RNA", at positions 499 to 807 of the family's 1533-position model. The record is from RNAcentral.
UUAUAAGAGACAGCAGUAGCCGCGGUAAUACAGAGGGUGCGAGCGUUAAUCGGAUUUACUGGGCGUAAAGCGUGCGUAGGCGGCUUCUUAAGUCGGAUGUGAAAUCCCUGAGCUUAACUUAGGAAUUGCAUUCGAUACUGGGAAGCUAGAGUAUGGGAGAGGAUGGUAGAAUUCCAGGUGUAGCGGUGAAAUGCGUAGAGAUCUGGAGGAAUACCGAUGGCGAAGGCAGCCAUCUGGCCUAAUACUGACGCUGAGGUACGAAAGCAUGGGGAGCAAACAGGAUUAGAGACCCGCGUAGUCCCUGUCUCUUAUAC